UACGAAGGGUGCAAGCGUUACUCGGAAUUACUGGGCGUAAAGCGUGCGUAGGUGGUUCGUUAAGUCUGAUGUGAAAGCCCUGGGCUCAACCUGGGAAUGGCAUUGGAAACUGGCGACCUAGAGUGCGGUAGAGGUUAGUGGAAUUCCCGGUGUAGCAGUGAAAUGCGUAGAGAUCGGGAGGAACAUCCGUGGCGAAGGCGACUACCUGGACCAGCACUGACACUGAGGCACGAAAGCGUGGGGAGCAAACAGG
Molecule: ribosomal RNA, 253 nt
Filed under: uncultured bacterium
Lineage: Bacteria
Description: partial 16S ribosomal RNA
Rfam family: Bacterial small subunit ribosomal RNA
Source: RNAcentral